UACGUAGGGGUCGAGCGUUAUCCGGAAUUACUGGGCGUAAAGCGCGUGCAGGCGGUGGGGUAAGUCGGACGUGAAAGCUCCUGGCUCAACUAGGAGAGGUCGUUCGAAACUGCCCGGCUAGAGGACGGUAGAGGCGAGUGGAAUUCCCGGUGUAGUGGUGAAAUGCGUAGAUAUCGGGAGGAACACCAGAGGCGAAGGCGACUCGCUGGGCCGCUCCUGACGCUCAGACGCGAAAGCUAGGGGAGAGAACGGG
RNAcentral lists this unclassified non-coding RNA (253 nucleotides) under uncultured Anaerolineae bacterium. RNAcentral's name for it is "contains 16S-23S intergenic spacer region". It matches the Rfam family "Bacterial small subunit ribosomal RNA", at positions 524 to 776 of the family's 1533-position model. Lineage: Bacteria; Bacillati; Chloroflexota; Anaerolineae. The record is from RNAcentral.